ACUCAGAGCAGAGCCAACACUCAUCCUCAUCAGAUAUUCUGACCCGUCGUCAGCAAGUACUCAUAAGCAGUGAUAAUAAAAACGUGAGUAACGGUAAAGAUCAACUACUGCUACAAACAUGAAGAAUUGAACCGUUACAACAAAUACAUGUGUAUUUAAUUUUUAAUUUAUAAAUUUUGGGGGCAAUUUAGUGAGAUAAAUAAUGAGAGUGAAAUACUUUUUGCUGGUGUUAUGUUACUUUCUUGCCGAUAUCAACAGUGUGUCAAGUCGGUCGGCAGUGACUAUACCUCCCAUUCCUGAAGUUUACCAGCCACCUUUACCAGAAGAUGCCGAGCUUGAUGAGAAGAAGUUGCAAUGGCUUGAAGAUUCUGAGCAGGAUCCUGAAGUUACUCCCGGGCUAUUUCAAGGAGAUAUGGCAAUGGAUAAUGAGGUGUUCAGCUACUGGCGGGUUGGUUUGCGUUGGGAUGUCUUUCCUGACAGAUUGUGGAAGAAUAGGACUGUACCGUAUAUUAUCAGUCCAUUAUAUGAACCUGAUGAAUACAUUACCAUUUAUAAAGCGAUAACUACAAUAAACUAUAUGACCUGCGUGAAGUUCGUACCUUGGAACGGAAAAGCCAAAGAUUUUUUGAUAAUAUGGCCUAUAAAAUAUCCAAAAGGGUGUUGGUCGUUCGUGGGACGAUUUGGAGGCGCUCAAAUAGUGUCACUGCAGCCGCCUGACGCGAAGGGGCCCAACUGCCUGGGCAAUGAGGGCCGAGCAAUGCAUGAACUGCUGCAUGCAAUCGGCAUAUUCCAUGAGCAAUCAAGGGCCGAUAGAGACAAAUUUGUCAAAAUUAAUCUCAGCAAUGUUUUGCCAGGGCAGAAUGUUAAGAAUACUCGAGAGAUAAGAAGUACAGAAUUGUUCAUGCAGUUCCCCUUCCCCCGCUUCACCCACAUUGCUGUUGGAGAAGAAGGCUUCUCCCUCCACAACCUCAGUCUUCAGCACUCGGCUGACCCAUAAACAUCUCUUAGUUUCGAUCUAAUUUUGACAAACAGAGUUUGGACAAUACAUCAUACACAUUCGAGUAUGACUAUGACAGUAUCAUGCAUUAUGGUAAAUACUUUUUCAGUACAAACAAAAGUAAACCAGUGAUCACACCCAAGUUUCCCGCUACGAAGCUCGGACAGCGCAAGAUGUUGAGCAAAACCGACUGUCUCAAAGUCAAUCAACUGUACGGCUGCUUGGAAAAAUCGAAAUACUCACAAAAAAAAUAUUAUAAUCUGUGUAAUUUUCUGGGACUUUGACAGAAAACCAUUACUAGGCUAUUAUUGUGGCUCCUAUCGACCGUACUUUACACUCAAGACUCCCUCAUAUGUGCCAUAUGUGUAUCUCGUAAAUAGAAUUCUUAAUAAAUAUUACAUAGAGAAAUAUAGUAAGUAGAAACCA
Nilaparvata lugens (brown planthopper) is the source of this 1423-nucleotide RNA transcript. It is a transcript of the gene named low choriolytic enzyme, with no coding region annotated. NCBI's taxonomy places the organism in Eukaryota, Metazoa, Arthropoda, Insecta, Hemiptera, Delphacidae. The record is from RefSeq and is a predicted model, not a curated record. The transcript is spliced from 8 exons.